Non-coding RNA from Castor canadensis (American beaver), 381 nucleotides. Lineage: Eukaryota; Metazoa; Chordata; Mammalia; Rodentia; Castoridae. The record is from the annotation of a RefSeq genome assembly.
AUGGAGUUGGGGCUGAUCUGGAAUUUCCUUGUUGCUUUUUUAAAAGGUGUCCAGUGUGAGGUGCAGCUGGUGGAGUCUUGGGGAGGCUUGGUGCAGCCUGGAGGGACCCUGAAACUCUCCAGUGCAGCCUCUGGAUUCACUUUCAGUGAUUACUGUAUGCACUGGGUCCAUGAGGCUCCAGGGAAAGGGCUGGAGUGGGUUGGAAAAAUUAACCCCAGAGGUGAUAACACAUACUACACAGAUGCAGUGAAGGGGAGAUUCACCGUCUCCAGAGACAAUGCCAAGUGCCAGGUGUAUCUGCAAAUGAAAAGGCUGGAAGCAGAGGACCCAGCUGUGUAUUACUGUGCAAGACAUUUUGAGUUCUGGGGACAGGGUCUAUGA